GAGGAAAGUCCGGGCUCCACAGGGCAGGGUGCCAGAUAACGUCUGGGAGGCGAAAGCCUACGACUAGUGCAACAGAGAGCAAACCGCCGAUGGCUCAUUUUUGCAAAAAAGUGAGAUCAGGUAAGGGUGAAAGGGUGCGGUAAGAGCGCACCGCGCGGCUGGUAACAGUCCGUGGCACGGUAAACUCCACCCGGAGCAAGACCAAAUAGGGGUUCACAGGGUACGGCCCGUAUCGAACCCGGGUAGGUUGCUUGAGCCAGUGCGCAAGUGCUGGCCUAGAUGAAUGGCUGUCCAAGACAGAACCCGGCUUA
Molecule: RNase P RNA, 311 nt
Filed under: Xenorhabdus poinarii G6
Lineage: Bacteria; Pseudomonadati; Pseudomonadota; Gammaproteobacteria; Enterobacterales; Morganellaceae
Description: RNaseP_bact_a
Rfam family: Bacterial RNase P class A
About the family: Ribonuclease P (RNase P) is a ubiquitous endoribonuclease, found in archaea, bacteria and eukarya as well as chloroplasts and mitochondria. Its best characterised activity is the generation of mature 5'-ends of tRNAs by cleaving the 5'-leader elements of precursor-tRNAs. Cellular RNase Ps are ribonucleoproteins.
Source: RNAcentral